This 380-nucleotide ribosomal RNA is filed under the name Paenibacillus ehimensis. Its description in RNAcentral is "bacterial SSU rRNA". It matches the Rfam family "Bacterial small subunit ribosomal RNA", at positions 94 to 465 of the family's 1533-position model. Lineage: Bacteria; Bacillati; Bacillota; Bacilli; Caryophanales; Paenibacillaceae. The record is from RNAcentral.
AGCGGCGGACGGGUGAGUAACACGUAGGCAACCUGCCUGUAAGACCGGGAUAACUACCGGAAACGGUAGCUAAGACCGGAUAAGUGGUCYUCUCGCAUGAGAGGAUCAAGAAACACGGGGYAACCUGUGGCUUACAGAUGGGCCUGCGGCGCAUUAGCUAGUUGGUGGGGUAACGGCYCACCAAGGCGACGAUGCGUAGCCGACCUGAGAGGGUGAUCGGCCACACUGGGACUGAGACACGGCCCAGACUCCUACGGGAGGCAGCAGUAGGGAAUCUUCCGCAAUGGACGCAAGUCUGACGGAGCAACGCCGCGUGAGUGAUGAAGGUUUUCGGAUCGUAAAGCUCUGUUGCCAGGGAAGAACGUCGCGGAGAGUAACUG